This 253-nucleotide ribosomal RNA is filed under the name uncultured bacterium. RNAcentral's name for it is "partial 16S ribosomal RNA". It matches the Rfam family "Bacterial small subunit ribosomal RNA", at positions 524 to 776 of the family's 1533-position model. The record is from RNAcentral.
GACGAACCGUACAAACGUUAUUCGGAAUUACUGGGCUUAAAGGGUGCGUAGGCGGCGCUGAAAGUUGGGUGUGAAAUGCCUCGGCUCAACCGAGGAAUGGCGCCCAAAACUACAGUGCUCGAGGGAGACAGAGGUGAGCGGAACUUAGGGUGGAGCGGUGAAAUGCGUUGAUAUCCUAAGGAACACCGGUGGCGAAAGCGGCUCACUGGGUCUCUUCUGACGCUGAGGCACGAAAGCUAGGGUAGCGAACGGG